Molecule: long non-coding RNA, 2581 nt
Filed under: Androctonus crassicauda
Lineage: Eukaryota; Metazoa; Arthropoda; Arachnida; Scorpiones; Buthidae
Source: RNAcentral
ACCUACACAUUGCAUAUAUUCUCUUCUAUUGAACUAUGUUUUUCACACACAUCUUCCUUUCAUAUACUUUUCACUUUCACUCAUCAUCACACUUCUUUUCUCUUUUUUACGUUAUUCUGUCCUCUCAGCACAUUCAUCUUUGAGAUCACCAUAUAUAAUUUGUACUUAUUUCUGUACCUCAUCACUUGUGUCACAACCUUUCCCCUCAAUCUUUCAUCAUACACAAUCAACUUAGUUGUACUCUUCUGAUCUUUCUCACAAUUUAUCUGAUGGUAAGGAACCUAAUUGGGCACCCAUCUCCAACUAGGAUCACAAUUAAAUUUCUUUGUUGAGUUCAGAAACUGACUUCUUCAUACCUAAUCAUAUUUUGUUCAAUUUUGUUUGAUGAAUGAUGUAACCAAUCCACAACAUAUGUAUGUAUGAAGUAAAUCAUGAUGGAAAAUUUUAAAAAACAUCAUAGAAGAAUAAACAUCUUCAUUCUGCCAUAUAAGUGUUCAACUGUGGUCUACUGUUAGUAAAUAAAUAAAGAAUAUUUGUUGAGCACUAGAAGUAAACAUAUUAUCUAAACUAUAAGUUAUAACCAUAAAUUGAUAUAAACAAUAUGAUGAGUUCACAUAUAGAGAUGUUUGUUAAUAAUAACAAUAUGGCCAUGAAGUUGAUGAUGACUAGUAGUAAUAUGAAAAGAUGAUGACCUUUGUGGCUAAAGACUUCAUUUAUAUACCACUUAAUUGUAGUAUAUUGGUUUUUGGUUGUCAGUACAAAAAUUUGUAUAUAUUUUGCAGAUGAUUUUUAACUACAUAUUGCUGCCUCCAGGGGCAUAUAGUCAUUUAGCUGCCACAUUCAAAUUGUCAUUCAGUCUUCUUUGGCUUGAUGUGGUGAAUAGGAUUUCUUUUUGUUAAGUUAAUAAAUCAUGAGGAAUCCAAUUCCUCACAGACUCUCCCAAAUAUUGAUGAAUGGCUUUGUACUUUAAAUGAAAUGUUUAAGAUAAACAGCCCUUCUUGGACAUAGAUGUUUGACAACUACACUCAAUUCUCAUUCAUUCUAAGAUCAUUAUACUUCCCAACUGAUUAUUUUGCACCAUUUUCAUCCACACCAACCCUACUUAUCAAAUUAUUUGCCAUAAUCACUCCUCAUUGCCACAACAUUCAUUCAACACAUUAUUCAAUUUAUACUAGAACUUUUCUUUUUCAUUUUCAUUCAAACCCUCUAUGGUAACAGAAACAAUAACUAGAAACCUCUCUAGACUCAGCUUCACUCAUACACAUUUGUACGCUGAUAUAUACUUUUUUGUUUUGUCAUUCAACAAUACAUCCACAUCACUUCUUGCUCAUUUACUGUCUCUCAUCCCAGACCAUAUUCCUACAAUAUCACAUGUUCAAAUGCAAUCCUUUUGAGAUGUCUCAUUUAUAUAUAGCACAUCUUGUCUAUACUUGCAUAUCUCAUUCACAAGCUGUUGUUCAUUCCUCAUCACUCCUUCUAUUCAAAUGAUCAAUUUACUUAUAAUUCCAUUUUUUAACAUUCUGUGAGGAUCCAGCUGUUUGCCAAUUCCAUAGAACUAAAUAAAUUAGACAAAUACAAUAUUUGAAAGAAAAUGCUUAUUCUUAAGUGAAAAGUACAUUUAUUUUAUUUAACAGAAGAAUAAUUAACAUUGUUCCUGGAGUUGUGUCUUGCCUCAAUGUUGUUUGUUGCCAGAGAGGUGUUUUCAAGAUGAUGGACCAGAAAGUGAAAACAAUGUGCCAUCUGGCUACCAUCAGUUUACUGCAUCUUUAUGUAAAUCAUCUGUUCAUAUAAAAAUUAUCUAUCUUCAUCUGUUUAGUUAGUUCUUCUUGUUCUCAUUUUGUAUUAAUCAACUGAUGCCGUCUUCAUCAUUUGUAAUUAUUUUACAGUAUGUUUUGCUGUUUUUGUAUAUUGGUGUUUGUGAAUAACUCAAUAAUCCACUAACUAAAUUCUCUUAUGUGAGAAGAAGGGAUAGUCUCCAAAAAUGUGACUAAUAAAUAUCUUAAUUUACAACUACUACAAUAUUUAUUUUGUUUUUAUUGAUUUCCCUGACUGUGGACCAGACAGCUAGAGCAACCAUUGAUGGCUUUCUCCCAUCAUUGCCAAAAAACUUCCAGGUUGAACUUAUAGUUAAUAGACAAGCUGUGUGUGGGUGUCCCAGUCUCAGAUGUCAAAAGUAUGGUUUUCUUUCUUUAGAGGUUUGAAAAUCAAGUUAAAAAUUCAUCAUCUUGCUAUUAGCCAAAUAUCAAUAUAGUUUAGUGAGGGGCUGCCUUCUUGAGAGUUCCAGACUACCCUGAGAAGAUUGUUUGGUUUUAAUUUCUAACCACUAUAGCAAAGUUGAACUAUCAAUAGUCUAGAAAUAUAAUUGGAACACAUAAUCCUUCUUGCCAUCAAGGGACAUGAAUCCAAAAAGGAUAAAAAACUGAUUUUGAAGUAUUUUUUCCCUUAAAAAUUAAAAUCAUAAAGGUGAAAGAAAUAUUUCAGAUAUAUAAAUGUACAGAAGCUUAUAAAUAUAAUAUUUAAUUUACCAAGCAAAUUUUUCUAAUAGACUAUACAAAAAGUUCUGGAGGCUUUUGGGUUGGAC